ACCUAGCAGACGUCUCCCCAGUCAGCCGUGGGAUCCGGUCAGAUGCAGCCCUUAUGAGUCAGAAUGGACCCAGUCCGAUUCCAGCAGUUUCCAGGCGCAGUCUGGGGAGAGAAACGCUCAAGUGAAGCCUGAAAGCUCGUGAACGCAAAAACUGCGAAGCCGGGAUCCUGAGAGGGACUCACACCACCUCGAGAGGCGGCGACGGAGCCUCGGGUUCAACAGUUGGACAGGACUGUUCCACAUGAUCUCCCAUUCUCUCUACCAUCUGUGCAGCUGGAAGCAAAAGGCUCCAAGAUGGCAAGGCCAUAGGACAGGAGGCAUCCUGACCCAUAAGCCGCUUGGGGGAGAGGUGCCCAAGGCCACCAGCAGUGGACUUUGCCUGUGUGACAGAUAUAUCUUUGUUGGGCUAAGGCACGGAUAGGCAGAGGUGGCUUAUUUCAGAGGCUGGUAUUAACUGUUCUAACACAGGUCUCAAAACUGUGAAGCUUUUUGUUGAUGCAAAUAAAGAGAUACACAUUUUAAACAUUA
Molecule: long non-coding RNA, 528 nt
Organism: Callorhinus ursinus (northern fur seal)
Lineage: Eukaryota; Metazoa; Chordata; Mammalia; Carnivora; Otariidae
Source: RefSeq, a predicted model, not a curated record